Molecule: ribosomal RNA, 240 nt
Filed under: uncultured bacterium
Lineage: Bacteria
Description: partial 16S ribosomal RNA
Rfam family: Bacterial small subunit ribosomal RNA
Source: RNAcentral
GGGUGUGAGUAGAGUGGCGCACGGGUGAGUAACGCGUGGGAAUGUACCCUUGGGUGAGGGAUAACAGUUAGAAAUGACUGCUAAUACCUCAUAAUGACUCCGGUCUAAAGAUUUAUCGCCCUAGGAUCAGCCCGCGUAAGAUUAGUUUGUUGGUGGGGUAAUGGCCUACCAAGACUACGAUCUUUAGCUGGUCUGAGAGGAUGAUCAGCCACACUGGGACUGAGAUACGGCCCAGACUCC